UACGUAGGGGGCUAGCGUUGUCCGGAUUUAUUGGGCGUAAAGAGCGUGUAGGCGGCCAGGUAGGUCUGGUGUGAAAACUCGAGGCUUAACCUCGAGAUGUCAUCGGAAACCAUCUGGCUAGAGUCCGGAAGAGGAGACUGGAAUUUACGGUGUAGCGGUGAAAUGCGCAGAUAUCAGGAGGAACACCGGUGGCGAAGGCGGAUCUCUGGGCCUUACCUGACGCUCAGGUGCGAAAGCUAGGGGAGCGAACAGG
This 253-nucleotide ribosomal RNA is filed under the name uncultured bacterium. Its description in RNAcentral is "partial 16S ribosomal RNA". It matches the Rfam family "Bacterial small subunit ribosomal RNA", at positions 524 to 776 of the family's 1533-position model. The record is from RNAcentral.